Molecule: ribosomal RNA, 253 nt
Filed under: uncultured bacterium
Lineage: Bacteria
Description: partial 16S ribosomal RNA
Rfam family: Bacterial small subunit ribosomal RNA
Source: RNAcentral
UACAGAGGGGGCAAGCGUUGUUCGGAAUUACUGGGCGUAAAGGGCGCGUAGGCGGCCUGUUAAGUCGAACGUGAAAUCCCCGGGCUCAACCCGGGAACUGCGUCCGAUACUGGCAGGCUUGAAUCCGGGAGAGGGAUGCGGAAUUCCAGGUGUAGCGGUGAAAUGCGUAGAUAUCGGGAGGAACACCAGUGGCGAAGGCGGCGACCUGGACAGAUAUUGACGCUGAGGUGCGAAAGCGUGGGGAGCAAACAGG